CCCUUAGAUGUUCUGGGCUGCACGCGCGCUACACUGAAGCGUUCAACGAGUAUUCACCUUGCCCGGGAGGGUUGGGUAAUCUUUUGAAAACGCUUCGUGAUGGGGAUAGAUUAUUGCAAUUAUUAAUCUUCAACGAGGAAUUCCUAGUAAGCGCGAGUCAUCAGCUCGUGCUGAUUACGUCCCUGCCCUUUGUACACACCGCCCGUCGCUCCUACCGAUUGAAUGGUCCGGUGAAGCCUCCGGAUUGGCGCGCACCUCGGUGCCGCCGAGAAGUUGGCUAAACCUUACCAUUUAGAGGAAGGAGAAGUCGUAACA
RNAcentral lists this ribosomal RNA (315 nucleotides) under uncultured eukaryote. RNAcentral's name for it is "partial 18S ribosomal RNA". It matches the Rfam family "Eukaryotic small subunit ribosomal RNA", at positions 1470 to 1796 of the family's 1831-position model. The record is from RNAcentral.